GAUGAACGCUAGCUACAGGCUUAACACAUGCAAGUCGAGGGGAAACGAUAUUGGAAGCUUGCUUCCGAUAGGCGUCGACCGGCGCACGGGUGAGUAACGCGUAUCCAACCUGCCCACCACUUGGGGAUAACCUUGCGAAAGUAAGACUAAUACCCAAUGAUAUCUCUAGAAGACAUCUGAAGGAGAUUAAAGAUUCAUCGGUGAUGGAUGGGGAUGCGUCUGAUUAGCUUGUUGGCGGGGUAACGGCCCACCAAGGCGACGAUCAGUAGGGGUUCUGAGAGGAAGGUCCCCCACAUUGGAACUGAGACACGGUCCAAACUCCUACGGGAGGCAGCAGUGAGGAAUAUUGGUCAAUGGGCGAGAGCCUGAACCAGCCAAGUAGCGUGCAGGAUGACGGCCCUAUGGGUUGUAAACUGCUUUUAUAAGGGAAUAAAGUGAGCCUCGUGAGGCUUUUUGCAUGUACCUUAUGAAUAAGGACCGGCUAAUUCCGUGCCAGCAGCCGCCGUAA
Molecule: ribosomal RNA, 508 nt
Filed under: uncultured bacterium
Lineage: Bacteria
Description: partial 16S ribosomal RNA
Rfam family: Bacterial small subunit ribosomal RNA
Source: RNAcentral